This is a long non-coding RNA of Nomascus leucogenys (northern white-cheeked gibbon), 1136 nucleotides long. RefSeq lists it as uncharacterized. Lineage: Eukaryota; Metazoa; Chordata; Mammalia; Primates; Hylobatidae. The record is from RefSeq and is a predicted model, not a curated record. The transcript has 3 exons.
CAGAGAGUGAGGCCUGGCCACCCGGCGCCGGCCCAGGCCCGGCCGCGGGGAGCCGAAGGGCGACGAGUCCGGCGACGAGGCCGUGUCGCUGUCGGGGGCCCGGCAGAGGCGCAGGUCCGGGGCGGAGACGUGCAGCCGGGACUGCGCCGCGGGGAGUCCCCCGGCCGGGGCGGGUGGCGGCCCGUGGAACAGGGAUUCCCGCCGGCGCGUGUGCGGGCUCUCCGGCAGGAAGGCCCAGCCUUCGCGGCCCGCCAGGGUCGAGAGGGUCCAAAUCUCGUCUCAGAUGGGAGUGCUCGGCGGAGCGGGGCUGGGCGAGGAGAGAAGAGGAGUCAGAGGCUAGUCAAGUGAAGCAGUGGGAGUGGAGAUGGAACAAAGAAAUCUGCAACUGGUUGUGAUCAGUUAGUGGUAAACACUACUGCACUUGGACCAACCUCUUCCUUUUCCUGACUGCAUAGGAAGGAUGGAAUGUAUUUCCUUCCUUCUGGGAGUGUUUGAAUGAAGAUUAGACUCUCCUUGACCCUGAAUGAAGAGCAACCAGUUUUUUAGUAUACAGUGAUUUAGACUCUGGGUCUAGAGUGUAGAUAUCAUGGGCACUGUGAAAGCACAGAAGGAGAAAAUGUUUUUAUGGGAGUAUAUGGGAGAGGAAAUAGUUGAUUGUCAUAAGCUUUUUGGCUAUGGCCUCCGGUACAUCUCUAGCUUUUGGAAGGCACUAAAUUGAGGCCAUUCAAAUCCAUGUCCACCUAUCCUUUGCCCAUCGUGAGACUGAUGGCUUAGGAACCAUGUGGUCUAGGUACUAGAGAGGGAGCCUGACCCACCUACCUCGCUGCUGCUGCUGAAUUUGUGCACAACUCUCUGACCUGGUUCCAUGUCACAAAGGGUUUCAUUCUCUCUGAUUCCCUGAAUCCCCAGCUCCAGCCCCAGAUCCUGGAGCCCUAGCAUAUGCCUGAAGCUGAAUAUUUUACUUGCCAGAGUAAGAGUUUUUACAUAGACUCUGUCAUCUUCUACUGGCCCUCCUCUUAAACUGAGGCAGCGGCUGCUAGCUACUCACCAAACCCAUUUUACUUUCUUUUUCUUUUUCUUUUCUUUUCUUUCUUUCUUUUUUUUUUUUUUUUUUUUUGAGACAGAGUCUUGCUCUG